RNAcentral lists this ribosomal RNA (380 nucleotides) under uncultured eukaryote. RNAcentral's name for it is "partial 18S ribosomal RNA". It matches the Rfam family "Eukaryotic small subunit ribosomal RNA", at positions 592 to 976 of the family's 1831-position model. The record is from RNAcentral.
CAAUAGCGUAUAUUAAAGUUGUUGCGGUUAAAAAGCUCGUAGUUGGAUUUCUGCUGAGAACGACCGGUCCGCCCUCUGGGUGUGUAUCUGGCUCUUUCUUGGCAUCUUCUUGGUGAACGUUGCUGCACUUGACUGUGUGGAGCGCUACCCAGGACUUUUACUUUGAGGAAAUUAGAGUGUUUCAAGCAGGCAUACGCCUUGAAUACAUUAGCAUGGAAUAAUAAGAUAGGACCUCGGUUCUAUUUUGUUGGUUUCUAGAGCUGAGGUAAUGAUUAAUAGGGAUAGUUGGGGGCAUUCGUAUUUAACUGUCAGAGGUGAAAUUCUUGGAUUUGUUAAAGACGGACUACUGCGAACGCAUUUGCCAAGGAUGUUUUCAUUGA